AGCCCCUACGGGAGGCAGCAGUGGGGGAUAUUGCACAAUGGGGGGAACCCUGAUGCAGCGACGCCGCGUGAGUGAAGAAGUAUUUCGGUAUGUAAAGCUCUAUCAGCAGGGAAGAAGAAAGACGGUACCUGAGUAAGAAGCCCCGGCUAACUACGUGCCAGCAGCCGCGGUAAUACGUAGGGGGCAAGCGUUAUCCGGAUUUACUGGGUGUAAAGGGAGCGUAGACGGCUGUGCAAGUCUGGAGUGAAAGGCGGGGGCCCAACCCCCGGACUGCUCUGGAAACUGUAUGGCUGAAGUGCAGGGGG
RNAcentral lists this ribosomal RNA (305 nucleotides) under uncultured bacterium. RNAcentral describes it as "partial 16S ribosomal RNA". It matches the Rfam family "Bacterial small subunit ribosomal RNA", at positions 334 to 655 of the family's 1533-position model. The record is from RNAcentral.